GAGACUGGACCCCCACAAGGAAGACAUGGCUGGUAGCCUGGUAUUGAGCACAAGAGCAUCAUAAAAGUAGAGAGGUAAGACAUGGUGAUUCCUUGCCUGCCUGGCAUCUCGCUUACUGCACAGAAUGGAAGAUUUGUGUGGCAGUCUGAAUGAGAUUGGCCCCAUAAUAGGUUUGAUACUCAGAUGGUGGAACUGUUUGGGAGGAAUUAGGAGGUGUGGUCUUGGUGGAAGAGGGGAGUCACCAGAGGUGGGCGUUGAGGUUUCAAAAGCCCAUUGCAUUCCCAGUUUUCUCCUCCUCUGCCUCUAACUUGGGGAUAAGAUGUAAGGUAUCAGAUCCUUCUCCUCUGUCAUGGCUGCCCAUCUGCUGCCUGCCUGACUCUUCACCAUGAUGGUCUUGAACUUAUGCUCUGAAACUAUAAACAAACUGCCAAUUAAAAUGCUUUUGUUUCUUUGCUUGCUUACUUACUUAUGAGUUACCUUGGUAUGGUGUCUCUUCCCAGCAAUAGAGAAGUAACUAAGUUUCCAAAAUCCAAGGCUCCAGUAGAUGUGAGGCCAUCUUUGUGUCUGUGUGGGUCCUCCCCCAACCAGCAAGGAGACAGAAUGAAGUGUGAGCUGUUUGCGGGUGAGAGUAGGAAGCAUAAACAGGAACAAAAAGCCUAACCUGGAAAGACUGAAGUCUCGAUGCAGUUCUGAUGCCAAGAAAGGGAAGUGGGAUGGAAGGACGCUGAAGUAGGAAGAGCUGCAGGCAAAAGGGAAAAGUGUGGGCUACCCUCACAAGAAGUGCGAGAAUUCAAGCCUGACGAGGCAGGUUCCACCUGCUAGUUGUUCCUACAGGAUUUAAACAAGAUUUUAGAAUCUAGAUUUAGAUUCGUGUGUCAGGGCCUGUACGUGCAAACCAAAAGACAGGCAUCCUCUUCCUUCUAUAAUGUGGGUCCUAGGGAUCAAGUUCAUAUCAUCAGACUUGGCAGCAAGGGCCCUUACCUGAUGAGUCAUCUCAUUGGCCCUUGUCUAUCAUUUAGGAUGGUUUUCUAGAUUUUGACUGAUUGCUCUUAUUUCCUCACUAAAGUAUGUGUCUUGAAGGCAAAGACCACAUUUAUGUCUGUUUGCAUUCGAUCACCAGCUUUGGCAAGAUGGCUGCAUUUUUUGUGGUUUCUACCUAAUGCGUAAAGUUUGUCUUUGUGUGUGUGUUUUGUUUUUGGGUUUUUUUUAAUUAUUACACUUGUUUAUUGGGAGGCACACCAAAGCACACAUGUGGAGGUCAGAGGAUGGCUUUUGGGAGUCAUGUUGUCCUCUCCUUCCAACAGAUGGGUCCCAGAGAUUGAACUGCUGAACCAUCCCAUUAGCCUGCUACCUACCAUUGAUUGAAUGGUAUAUGAAAGAUGUAAACUCGGCAUUCACAUUUGUAUAACAGCACUAAUCAAUGCUAGAAUGCUGAAAAUCAGUGAACUUUUGAGUCCCCAAAAACCUAGGACCAAAUAUAGACCCACAGAAAUCACCAAGACUCUAGGCAGCCUUGGCUUCCUAGCACUCUCGACAACUGUGCUGUCUAUAAUAAGGAACCAUGUGUGGUGGUUUGAAUGAAAAUAGCCAUCCCAUAGACUCAGGGAGUGACUUUAUUGGAGGUGUGUCCUUCUUGGAGUAGGUGUGACCUUGUUGGAGGAAGUAUGUCACAGCAGGGUGAGCUUUGUGGGUACAGAAGCUCAAGCCAGACCCAGUGUCACUAACUUACUGCUGCCUGCCAAUCCAGGUAUAGAACUCUCAGUUAUUUCUCCAACACAUGUCUGCAUAUGUGCUACCAUACUUUCUGCCAUGAUAAAAUAGACCUCUGAACCUGUAAGCCAUCCCAAAUUAAAUGUUUUCUUUUAUAAGAGUUAUGUGGUCAUGGUAUCUCUUCACAGCAAUAGAACACUGACUAAGACAUCAUGGGCUGGGAGAGAUGCCCCUGACAGCUGAUACCCCUGAUGCUCCAUAAGCUUGAGAACCUGACUUCCAUCCCCAGAACCCAUGAAAAAGCCAACACUGGGGAGGCAAAGACAGGAGGAUCUCUGGGGCUUGCUGGCCUGCCAGCCUAGCUGCAUCUAUAAGCUACAGGUUCAUGGAGCGCUCCUGUCUCAGAAAAAUAAGGUACAGAGUGAUUAAGGAAGACAUCUGACGAUGACCUCAGGCCCCCACACUCAAAGGCACACACCUGCAUGAAACCAGGAUUUGGCUUUACCUGUGGGAAUUCCUUCCUCUCUUCAUGGCUGUUCUAGUCUAGAGGCUGUUGCUGUAAUAAAACAUUGAUCAAAAUCAGCUAGGGAGGAAAGAGUUCAUCUUACAGCUUACAGUCCAUCACUGAGGGAUGUCGGGAGGAACUCAAGGCAGGAGCCUGGAGUCAGGAAGCUUACUGACUUGCUACCCCACAGCUGCUCAGCUUGCUUUUUUAUACAGCCCAGGACCACUUGGUCAGGGCUGUCACCUCCCACAGUGAGCUGGUCCCUCUUGUAUCAGUCAUCAGUCAAGAAAAUGCCCCCCCAAAGUCUGCAGGCCAAUCUGAUGGAAGCAAUUCUUCAGCUGAGGGUUCCUCUUCCCAGGUGGAUCUAGUUUCUCUUUAGUUGAGAAAAGUUAAGCAGCACCCUGUCUAAAACCUUGCAAGACUUUGUUUAUGCAAAAACAGCCAGAGUUCCACUCUGCUCCCAUGAGUCAGAACUGCCCUAUAACAAGCAAGAGACUUGUGCAAGGCUUGCCUUGGAUUUCUAAUGUUCUCCAUUUUCUUCAUACUGCAGACAAAAAACACCUUCUGAGGAAGAGCUGUGAGCUGCUGUUUUCCUAUCACUAUCAUUUGGGCUGUCUCUCUUUCCCUCUGCUCCUGCAGGAGACACAGAAACUUCCUGUGUAUAGACCAAGGCCUCCAUCCUGCAGAGUGUGUGCAAGCAAGUGUUAAAAAUGCUUGAAGUUGCCACGUACUGAACUGAGCUUAAAGCAUUCAGGCAAAUUUUAUGACAGUUUCAGCCUUGGCAAAAACUUGUUUCAGUGGACUAACCUCAGCAAAUUGUGAGACUUAGUGUUAGAAGCCUUGCCCAAAGACUGCAGUGCAUCCUCAGUGCUCUGUGUGCAGUGACAAAGUCUAGACUUCAAACUGUCCUGUCACCAUGGAGACACUGCAAGCAAGGUCUCCUAUCUUUGUCCAAGCAAAAAUGAAGCAGCAACUGUGGCAGCUUCCUUCACUUCCCUAUGAGUGAUGGUGGGAAAGAGCGGUGUCUCCAGAAUCACAGACACUGCCUCCAUUCCUGUGAAGGAGGGCAGGAGAGAGAGGUGUCUCCAGAACGACAGGUACCACCCUCCGUUGGUUAGAUUUGACCUUGGGUGUUUGGACCGUGAUUGUGUCAGGGUCUUAUGGAGCCCAGGCUGCUUGAAGCUCAUGAUUCCUGAAUUUCCUGCCUUUCUACC
This is a long non-coding RNA of Chionomys nivalis (European snow vole), 3429 nucleotides long. RefSeq lists it as uncharacterized. The transcript is spliced from 3 exons. Lineage: Eukaryota; Metazoa; Chordata; Mammalia; Rodentia; Cricetidae. The record is from RefSeq and is a predicted model, not a curated record.